GUGCACAGUCCACACCCACGGGGUGGGUUUUUCCAGGCACCUCUGGCGCCCCAGUGAUGCCUCGUGGUUUGGUUUGCCUCCUCUUAGGAAGGGACUAAACAACAGAUUCCUGGUGAGGCCAGCGUGAGAGAUGGAAAUGAAGGAAGCCAGAAGUGAAGCGACCAGCUCAGGUGAUACAGCUAGAAAGUGCUUUAGAGCUGGGGCCAUGGGCAGAUGAGCUGACCACAGGUCACACUCCUGACACCAAACCUGGCUCUGCGAAGAUGAUGUCGAAGAACUCCUCCUCGGCCUUGCUGACCAGCGCCUCCAGGUCUACGGCCAGCUCCUCAUCGGUCUGCU
This 339-nucleotide long non-coding RNA is filed under the name Homo sapiens (human). Its description in RNAcentral is "HSALNT0391659". Lineage: Eukaryota; Metazoa; Chordata; Mammalia; Primates; Hominidae. The record is from RNAcentral.